Molecule: long non-coding RNA, 1478 nt
Organism: Erigeron canadensis
Lineage: Eukaryota; Viridiplantae; Streptophyta; Magnoliopsida; Asterales; Asteraceae
Exons: 9
Source: RefSeq, a predicted model, not a curated record
UGUUAGUUGAAAAGGAUCUAUGGCCAUUAGUUAGUGUCACCUUGUAAUUGAAUGGUUGCAGAAUCGGCUGGGUUAAGGGUUUUGUAGGUUCAAGGAUACGUGAUGUCGUAUGUUGAAUGUGUAUCAGUGGGAGAGCUACUGGUUAUUGGUUGUUUUUUUGUGCAUCUUAUCUUAUGACUGUCAAAAGAAGGUGCUGGUGUAUAUGGUAGAUCAGAUGGCAUUCGUAUAUGGUUUUCCUUUUCAUAGAGUUUGUAGGGUUGUGCUGAUUGAGAAGGUUCUCCAUGGCAAUCGAUUCGUCUCAGUUACUUGAAUUGGAUGAUUGUGUCUGAUCUCCUUUCUUCUACUUGCCUUAGUUACUGUACUUCAGAUUCAAUCAACAUUACGGAGGCUUUGGACAGAUAAUACUUUGGCUUGAUCUUUGCUGCUGGGCGCGACAUGGAUUUACAGAAGUGCACUUUCUUAUAAUCCCACUGAUAAAAGGAGAGCUUUGACAUACAUUGAUGGUGCUGGGAAAAUGCACAGAGUGAGCAAAGGUGCACCAGAUCAGAUUUUGAAUUUAGCUAAGAACAAUGCAAGAUUGAAAAAAGGGUACACAUGAUUAUUGGCAAAUUUGCUGAACGUGGACUUUGAUCUCUUGGAGUAGCUCGCUAGGUGAUCAACUGGCAAUUGCUAAGGAGACAGGUAGUCUUCCAGAAAUGGGUGUCAAUAUGUGCCCUUAUCUUUACUCGCCAAACAUAAAGAUUAGCUAAGUGCUUCUCUUCCCGUUGAUGAACUCAUUGAGAAAGCAGAUGGUUUUGCUGUUGUUUGUCCAGGUUUGAAAAUCAAUCAGUUGAAAGUCAAUGCUCAUUGGUGAUCAUUCCUGCCUAAUCUUUGGACUAAUGUGAAAGACCACAUUUUGGGUUUUGCUGGUUAUGGACUGCCGGGCAUAUAUUCCUUAAUCUCCUAUCAAGAGGAUAGUUGCAUCUGAUCUCAUUAAUACUUCUUUUACCAUGGUUGGUUACCUGAUCAUGAUAAUAUCUUCUUUGUAGGUAGUAAGGUGCCUUUUGACAUCAUUGCAUAUAUAUUAAGCAGUUUAUGACAAGCGACUCUUUACCAAGGGCUGGGGGAGUCCUUGCCUUAUUUCACAGAUUGUUGUUAACUCUGCCUGUGGUGUCUGGACUCGGCUAGUCUCAUGCUCAGAUGGAGCGAGGAGGGUCGAAAGAGGUAAAACACUACAAACUGCUGCUAGUGUAGUUGUUGGCACGCAUAUCGUUUGGGCAUCGCCUAAGUCAACUACAGCAAGGCAUCGUUGUGAUUAUAGGUAUUAGGUACCGUACCAAAUAGGAUGAUAUUUGUAGCCAGUGGCAAGUACGUUAAUAUAUGUUUCUCGUUGUUUGCUGGAUUAUCUGCUUGGAUAUGAUGUCAUGUUGGAUAUUUUAGUGUAAUUGGGGUUAACUUGUUUGAUCAGUAACGUCAUAAUAAUACAUCAUAUAGCAUUA